UGUUGGCGGCGAUUGUCGGCCAUGUUGUCGUUCGUUGAUGUUAUCAAGUUUGUUUGUUGUGGUAGAUUAUUGUGAGUUUUUAACUAGCUUAGUGCAUUUUAAAGAUUGUUUACAAUGCCAAAAGUUGUCAAAAGUUCGGCUCGAGAAAUGAUAUUGAAGAUGAAAGAGUUCUG
Molecule: long non-coding RNA, 173 nt
Organism: Maniola jurtina (meadow brown)
Lineage: Eukaryota; Metazoa; Arthropoda; Insecta; Lepidoptera; Nymphalidae
Exons: 3
Source: RefSeq, a predicted model, not a curated record